Molecule: ribosomal RNA, 992 nt
Filed under: uncultured eukaryote
Lineage: Eukaryota
Description: SSU rRNA
Rfam family: Eukaryotic small subunit ribosomal RNA
Source: RNAcentral
UUGAUGGUUCUUACUACACGGAUAACUGUAGUAAUUCUAGAGCUAAUACGUGCGUAAAAUCCCGACUCUUGCGGGGAGGGAUGUAUUUAUUAGAUAAAAAGCCAGCGCGGGUUCUGCCCGGUUUUGUGGUGAAUCAUAGUAACUUUUCGAAUCGCAUGGCUUCACGCCGGCGAUAGUUCAUUCAAAUUUCUGCCCUAUCAGCUUUCGACGGUAGUGUAGUGGACUACCGUGGCAUUAACGGGUAACGGAGAAUUAGGGUUCGAUUCCGGAGAGGGAGCCUGAGAAACGGCUACCACAUCCAAGGAAGGCAGCAGGCGCGCAAAUUACCCAAUUCUGACACAGAGAGGUAGUGACAAAAAAUAACAAUACCUGGCUUCUUUAGGUCGGGUAAUUGCAAUGAGUACAAUUUAAAUCCCUUAACGAGGAUCCAUUGGAGGGCAAGCCUGGUGCCAGCAGCCACGGUAAUUCCAGCUCCAAGAGCGUAUAUUAAAGUUGUUGCAGUUAAAAAGCUCGUAGUUGGAUUUCUGGUACAACGCGCCUGGCCCGCUUUUAGUGAGUGCCGGUGCGCGUUUGCCAUCCUUCUAGAAAACGUUUCUACCUGGGCAACCGGGCCGGACUCGCGAUCUAGAUCUUUUACUUUGAAAAAAUUAGAGUGUUUAAAGCAGGCUUUUGCUGUGAAUACAUUAGCAUGGAAUAAUAAUCUAGGACUUCGGUUCUAUUUUGUUGGUUUCUAGUACUGAAGUAAUGAUUGAUAGGGAUAGUUGGGGGUGCUAGUAUUGGCCGGCCAGAGGUGAAAUUCUUGGAUUCGGUCAAGACUAACUUAUGCGAAAGCAUUCACCAAGGAUGUCUUCUUUAAUCAAGAACGAAAGUUGGGGGAUCGAAGACGAUCAGAUACCGUCGUAGUCUCAACCAUAAACUAUGCCAACUAGGGAUGGGUGAACGUUGUUUUUUUGACUUCAUCUGCACUUAUGAGAAUCAAAGUCUUUGGGUUC